CGGACGGGUGAGUAAUGUCUGGGAAACUGCCCGAUGGAGGGGGAUAACUACUGGAAACGGUAGCUAAUACCGCAUAAUGUCUGCGGACCAAAGCGGGGGACCUCCGGGCCUCGCGCCAUCAGAUGAACCCAUAUGGGAUUAGCUUGUAGGUAAGGUAACGGCUUACCUAGGCGACGAUCCCUAGCUGGUCUGAGAGGAUGACCAGCCACACUGGAACUGAGACACGGUCCAG
Molecule: ribosomal RNA, 232 nt
Filed under: uncultured bacterium
Lineage: Bacteria
Description: partial 16S ribosomal RNA
Rfam family: Bacterial small subunit ribosomal RNA
Source: RNAcentral